CUCUCGGCAACGGAUAUCUCGGCUCUUGCAUCGAUGAAGAACGUAGCGAGAUGCGAUACGUGGUGUGAAUUGCAGAAUCCCGUGAACCAUCGAGUCUUUGAACGCAAGUUGCGCCCGAGGCGAGGCGACUCGGCCGAGGGCACGCCUGCCUGGGCGUCACGCCCCCGUU
This 169-nucleotide ribosomal RNA is filed under the name Endiandra coriacea. RNAcentral describes it as "5.8S ribosomal RNA". It matches the Rfam family "5.8S ribosomal RNA". Rfam says of the family: 5.8S ribosomal RNA (5.8S rRNA) is a component of the large subunit of the eukaryotic ribosome. It is transcribed by RNA polymerase I as part of the 45S precursor that also contains 18S and 28S rRNA. RNAcentral also lists the same sequence under 1 other name. The record is from RNAcentral. Lineage: Eukaryota; Viridiplantae; Streptophyta; Magnoliopsida; Laurales; Lauraceae.